Molecule: transfer RNA, 76 nt
Filed under: Gordonia phage Cucurbita
Lineage: Duplodnaviria; Heunggongvirae; Uroviricota; Caudoviricetes
Description: tRNA-Asn
Rfam family: tRNA
About the family: Transfer RNA (tRNA) molecules are approximately 80 nucleotides in length.
Source: RNAcentral
UCCGGUGUAGCUCAAUCGGCAGAGCGCUCGGCUGUUAACCGAGAGGCUGAAGGUUCGACCCCUUCCACCGGAGCCA